RNAcentral lists this ribosomal RNA (253 nucleotides) under uncultured bacterium. Its description in RNAcentral is "partial 16S ribosomal RNA". It matches the Rfam family "Bacterial small subunit ribosomal RNA", at positions 524 to 776 of the family's 1533-position model. The record is from RNAcentral.
UACAGAGGUGGCAAGCGUUGUUCGGAAUUACUGGGCGUAAAGGGCGCGUAGGCGGCCUUCUAAGUCAGACGUGAAAUCCCCAGGCUUAACCGGGGAACUGCGUCUGAUACUGGAUGGCUUGAGAUUGGGAGAGGGAUGCGGAAUUCCAGGUGUAGCGGUGAAAUGCGUAGAUAUCUGGAGGAACACCGGUGGCGAAGGCGGCAUCCUGGACCAACACUGACGCUGAGGAGCGAAAGCCAGGGGAGCAAACGGG